CAAGUGGGACGGGUGAUCGCAGGUUCCCGCAAGGGGAACUGAGGAAAGUCCGAGCUCCGUAGGGCAGGAUGCUGGGUAACGCCCAGUGGGGGAGACCCCGAGGAUAGUGCCACAGAAAUAUACCGCCCGGGAUUUUUGCCCUCCGAAACGCCGUAAAAAACCCAUUCAAGGACGAAGGGAAACCUUUUUCGAACAGGCUCGGCGCAGAACAAGGCAAAAAACGCGAUUUCCUGGGUAAGGGUGCAAAGGUAGUGUAAGAGACUACCAGCAAUUGGGUGACCAAUUGGCUAGGUAAACCCCAUCCGGAGCAAGACCAAACAGGGGAGCUAAGGUGGCCCGCCAUUCCCCGGGUUCGGUCGCUAGAGGCGUAAGGUAACUUGCGUCCCAGAUAGAUGAUCAUCGCCCCCGAGGGGGAACAAAACUCGGCUUACAGGCCCACUUGCGGG
Molecule: RNase P RNA, 446 nt
Filed under: Cyanobacteria bacterium UBA8530
Lineage: Bacteria; Bacillati; Cyanobacteriota
Description: RNase P RNA component class A
Rfam family: Bacterial RNase P class A
About the family: Ribonuclease P (RNase P) is a ubiquitous endoribonuclease, found in archaea, bacteria and eukarya as well as chloroplasts and mitochondria. Its best characterised activity is the generation of mature 5'-ends of tRNAs by cleaving the 5'-leader elements of precursor-tRNAs.
Source: RNAcentral